Molecule: long non-coding RNA, 770 nt
Filed under: Prunus persica (peach)
Lineage: Eukaryota; Viridiplantae; Streptophyta; Magnoliopsida; Rosales; Rosaceae
Description: long non-coding RNA (PPER_LNC008030)
Source: RNAcentral
AAAGAUCUAAAAUUGUCUAAUUUAGGACCAAAAUAUUCAAAUCGAUUUAAACCGUUAAUUCACGGUAACCGACCGAUUUUUGCGAAGCGGUCGGUUUGCGGUUUCAAAAAUCGUCUUACUGCAAAUAGUCGGUCGGUUUGCGGUUCUGGGAAAAAUUCGUUAUUAUCGAACCGCAACCACCCCUACUAUAUAUGGCCCGAGAAAAAACUAAUGUUCUUGACCAAAAAAAAAAGAGAAAAAAUGUAAUAACCCAAACCUAAAUUAUUAUUUAAUUCUUAAUUUAUUAAGGAGAAAAGACAAUUUUGCCCUUGGAAUACUUUAUUAAAGAAAAGUUGAAGGAAUUUGAUACUUUCACACACACUGUCGCAUAGAGCACGACGAAAUGAGUCCGUAGACACGAAGUGGACUCGAAUCGGAGCUUUAACGAAGGAAAUACGGUUAAAAUACUCCAGGGGCAAAACGGUAAUUUGAAAAAUCAGAUUUUCAAAACCUCAUUUCUCUCUCUUCUCCCUCAGUUUCUCUCUCUCUCUCUCUCUCUCUCUCUCUCUCUCUCUCUCUCCCGUCGCGACAAUUCCCUUCCCCUUACACAGCCGAUCGGUUCUCUCCUCGCCGCCACCAUGUCCAGCCGCCAUCUUCGUUGGUACUGGUCCCAAAAGAACCAGCUCAUCAUCCUCUACAAGUCCCAGCCCUCGGCCGCUCCACUCCGCCGCCGGUGUCGCCGGAAUUUGCAGACUCCGGUGGUUUUUCUCGAAAAUUCAAACCGUUCGUUC